CCUACGGGUGGCAGCAGUGAGGAAUAUUGGUCAAUGGGCGUAAGUCUGAACCAGCCAAGUCGCGUGAGGGAUGAAGGCUCUAUGGAUCGUAAACCUCUUUUAUAAGGGAAUAAAGUGUGGGACGUGUCCUAUUUUGUAUGUACCUUAUGAAUAAGGAUCGGCUAAUUCCGUGCCAGCAGCCGCGGUAAUACGGAGGAUCCGAGCGUUAUCCGGAUUUAUUGGGUUUAAAGGGUGCGUAGGCGGCCUCUUAAGUCAGCGGUGAAAGUCUGUGGCUCAACCAUAGAAUUGCCGUUGAAACUGGGGGGCUUGAGUGUGUUUGAGGCAGGCGGAAUGCGUGGUGUAGCGGUGAAAUGCUUAGAUAUCACGCAGAACCCCGAUUGCGAAGGCAGCCUGCCAUGCCAUGACUGACGCUGAUGCACGAAGGCGUGGGGAUCGAACAGGAUUAGAUACCCUUGCAGUC
RNAcentral lists this ribosomal RNA (460 nucleotides) under uncultured bacterium. RNAcentral's name for it is "partial 16S ribosomal RNA". It matches the Rfam family "Bacterial small subunit ribosomal RNA", at positions 338 to 795 of the family's 1533-position model. The record is from RNAcentral.